CAGAGAUAAAAAAUUUGUGUUAGGAUUUUUUUCAUCAUGUCAGUUUUCUUAAGAGACAGUAGAUAUUCAUGAAAUUUUCUUUGAGCAUCUUUUAGUCUGCAGACUGUUCAGCAUCACUUAUUCUUAGCCAUUUAUCUAGUUUUGGUCAAGUAAGAACGAAGAAGCACUGACUAUAUAAGUGUACAUGAUCUUGUGUGGGACUAAUGGCUUUCUUGAGAUUAAUAAGGAGCAAAAAUGUAAAUAAAUCUAACUCAUUUAAGAGUUAAGGAUAGUCUCACAAUGAAAAGUUAAAAUUUGUGUUCUGGUUUCAGAGUCACCAAUGGACACAUACUGAUGGUGCUGGGACAACCAAGAAGUUGCACUUCAUCUUGGCUAGAAGCAAGGUGGGUUUUCAGAUGCACCAAAGAAAGUUUUAAAAUCAGCUAUAUGUACAAUUGUUUAUGAUAUGUCCUUCAUUCCAUGUAAGUAAAUAGUUCAAGGAUUUCUUGGUU
RNAcentral lists this long non-coding RNA (491 nucleotides) under Parus major (Great Tit). Its description in RNAcentral is "lncRNA (ENSPMJG00000019351.1)". Lineage: Eukaryota; Metazoa; Chordata; Aves; Passeriformes; Paridae. The record is from RNAcentral.